GCACCGGCUAACUACGUGCCAGCAGCCGCGGUAAUACGUAGGGUGCAAGCGUUAAUCGGAAUUACUGGGCGUAAAGCGUGCGCAGGCGGUUUUGUAAGUCUGUCGUGAAAUCCCCGGGCUUAACCUGGGAAUGGCGAUGGAGACUGCAAGGCUAGAGUUUGGCAGAGGGGGGUAGAAUUCCACGUGUAGCAGUGAAAUGCGUAGAGAUGUGGAGGAACACCGAUGGCGAAGGCAGCCCCCUGGGUCAAGACUGACGCUCAUGCACGAAAGCGUGGGGAGCAAACAGGAUUAGAUACCCUGGUAGUCCACGCCCUAAACGAUGUCUACUAGUUGUUGGGUCUUAAUUGACUUAGUAACGCAGCUAACGCGUGAAGUAGACCGCCUGGGGAGUACGGUCGCA
RNAcentral lists this ribosomal RNA (400 nucleotides) under uncultured bacterium. Its description in RNAcentral is "bacterial SSU rRNA". It matches the Rfam family "Bacterial small subunit ribosomal RNA", at positions 490 to 890 of the family's 1533-position model. The record is from RNAcentral.